ACCUCGCUGCUGAGUUAGCCUGGCUCUUGAGCCGGGCUGAUAGAAACUCCCCCAAUCCCCACUUGUUUCUGUGUUUAGGGUUUGGCAAACUGGUGUUUUCACUCUCAGGGGCUAGCUCCAUUUGUCUGGCCACUUUUCUGACUACAGUGCUGGGUACUGCACCUUUACAACAAGGCUGUGAGGGCUGAGCACUCAGAGGCAGAGGCUGGGGGAUCCCUGAGUUCAAGGCUACCCAGGGCUACGCAACCCAGAUCGUGGCUCCUAACAGCACAGAACAGAGAGUAGUGGACUAACUGCCAUGUGCAUAUGAUCUGUAGCCUUUACAGUGGCCUUGAAAGUUGCUAAUCCCCAUUACUGAUGAAGAGACUGAAGGUCAUGGGACACAAACUUCAGCUUGGAAGGGCACCUGGUUCCCCAGCAUCCCAGACAACAGUCCCCUGUGUGGCUCCUGGUGUGAUGUGCACUAGGCCCAGAAGGACAUGGAGAGAAUGUGCACAGCCUUGUCCCGGCGCUGGAAAACAGAAGCUAACCUGUAAGCAACUAGAGGAUGUUUUCAGCUCGUGAGGAAGACUUAGCUUUUAAAAAGUAAAAAGCAGGAACAGGAAUAUGCCACCACACCUUGCUGGGAGCAGGGAUAACACGCCCAAAGAAAAGGGAUGAGCCGGGUCACUGAUCCUCACAAGGCCUGAAGAAGAGGUGGGACUCAUCACGAGGCCACAAAGAAAUACACAUUUUUUUUCUGGAGGUGGAUUUUCUGUUUGCUGAACAGAGCAGAUGGCUGUGCUUGAGAGGGGAAAGGAAAUUGCUAACCCUGUCCCCUGGCAUAGAAGAAAAAAUUGACGAAGUCACCAGGCUGGGCUCCAGCCCCUCUUCUGCAGCCUCAGCAGAUUUCUCUGCUGACACUCUGCCAUCAGAGAGUCUUUGAGGAGCACUGCCCCUGCUUCCCU
RNAcentral lists this long non-coding RNA (947 nucleotides) under Mus musculus (house mouse). Its description in RNAcentral is "lincRNA-EC94". Lineage: Eukaryota; Metazoa; Chordata; Mammalia; Rodentia; Muridae. The record is from RNAcentral.